GAAAUGCGAUAAGUAAUGUGAAUUGCAGAAUUCAGUGAAUCAUCGAAUCUUUGAACGCACAUUGCGCCCGCCAGUAUUCUGGCGGGCAUGCCUGUUCGAGCGUCAUUUCAACCAUCAAGCCCCCGGCUUGUGUUGGGGACCUGCGGCUGCCCGCAGGCCCUGAAAAACAGUGGCGGGCUCGCUGUCACACCGAGCGUAGUAGCAUACAUUCUCGCUCAGGGCGGGCUGCGGGUCCCGGCCGUUAAACGACCUUCAUAACCCAAGGUUGACCUCGGAUCAGGUAGGAAGACCCGCUGAACUUAAGC
This 305-nucleotide unclassified non-coding RNA is filed under the name plant metagenome. RNAcentral's name for it is "partial contains 5.8S ribosomal RNA, internal transcribed spacer 2, and large subunit ribosomal RNA". The stretch from base 1 to 105 matches the Rfam family "5.8S ribosomal RNA", at positions 50 to 154 of the family's 154-position model. The record is from RNAcentral.